AACAAAGUAGAAUGAUCUGUGAUUGUUGUCAGCGUUCCAUAUAUAAGUAGUACAUCAAAUACAAGUUUUGAUACUAAGGGCUUGAGGUUUGCUAUAUACAAUCUUAGUUUUGUAAUAUUUAUAAACAGAGGUUGAUCCUUUUUUGUUUAGUAAUUAUAAUCUCUACAAGCCUGAGUUUAGUUUCGGGAGUAGUAUAUGGAUUGUGUCUGUUCUUUGAUAAUUAUUGUCUUCAAAUGGUUUUGUAAUUUGGAAGUGAGAGGACAGACCAAGUUAACUUGUUUUUAUGCUAAUCUACAGAUGCAAAUCUCAGACAGUCAUUACCAGAUCAAGUUCGCGUACCAGCUGUUUUUAAGUGCCAUAGAGUCACUGCAAUUAGCAAUGGUGAAGCUGAGAUUGCUUACCAGGCUACUGUGAAAAUCAGUGGUCAUGUAUUCAAGGGGUUGCUCUAUGAUCGUGGGGUUGAUAAGAAGAAUGAAUACCCUUGUAUUUCACAUAUGCAUUUGGGAAGUGGUAGUAACCAAAGGAAUGGAGACUCUUCUUCUCCAACUGUGCCUCCAUCCGAUGUCUGUGUGGCGUCCACCAGCUGAAGGUUUUUUAGAGAUAGCCAGAUAUUAAAUGUGAUUAUACACGUUUGUAGUGUAUAAGGGAGGUUUGCGUUGCAACUCUUGUGGAAUUAUCAUAUGGGCUGUUAGUGUAGUAUAGCCAGAUAUUAAAUGUGAUUAUACACGUUGAUGCUUGGAAGCGCCAAGAACUAUAUCAGAGUCUGCUACAGUAUAGAAUGCAGAUAUGGUUCCGCCGAGCACCCAGAAGCCUGGUUUGGAGCUCUUAACAUAUUGUUAAUUUAGUUAUCUUUUCAUGUAACUGAACACCAUUUUGAAUAAUUAUCAAACUAGGACAUGAAAGCGUUGGAUCAGAAUAGAUGUAAGAAUGUGAAUAUGUGGCCAUCUAUCAAAAUAUAUGGAUCUUCUCUCAGUA
Rosa chinensis is the source of this 975-nucleotide long non-coding RNA. RefSeq lists it as uncharacterized. Lineage: Eukaryota; Viridiplantae; Streptophyta; Magnoliopsida; Rosales; Rosaceae. The transcript has 3 exons. The record is from RefSeq and is a predicted model, not a curated record.